Molecule: unclassified non-coding RNA, 373 nt
Filed under: soil metagenome
Description: partial contains 5.8S ribosomal RNA, internal transcribed spacer 2, and large subunit ribosomal RNA
Rfam family: 5.8S ribosomal RNA (bases 1-121)
Source: RNAcentral
GAUGAAGAACGUAGCGAAAUGCGAUAAGUAAUGCGAAUUGCAGAAUUCCAGUGAGUCAUCGAAUCUUUGAACGCACAUUGCGCCCUUUGGUAUUCCGAAGGGCAUGCCUGUUCGAGCGUCAUUAUCACCCCUCAAGCCCUCGGCUUGGUGUUGGAUGGUUUGGUGGAGGCCCCCUCGGGGGCUCCUGCCCCUCCCAAAGACAAUGACGGCGGCCUCGUUGGACCCCCGGUACACUGAGUUCUUCACGGGACACGUAUCGGACACAUGGGUUUACGGGACACGGUCUGCCUCCCCUCAGGGAGAAUCUUUCUAAGGUUGACCUCGGAUCAGGUAGGGAUACCCGCUGAACUUAAGCAUAUCAAUAAGCGGAGGA